RNAcentral lists this signal recognition particle RNA (300 nucleotides) under Propithecus coquereli (Coquerel's sifaka). RNAcentral describes it as "Metazoan signal recognition particle RNA (ENSPCOG00000001820.1)". It matches the Rfam family "Metazoan signal recognition particle RNA". Rfam says of the family: The signal recognition particle (SRP) is a universally conserved ribonucleoprotein. Lineage: Eukaryota; Metazoa; Chordata; Mammalia; Primates; Indriidae. The record is from Rfam by way of RNAcentral.
GCCGGACGCGGUGGCGCGCGCCUGUAGUCCCAGCUACCCGGGAGGCUGAGGCAGGAGGAUCGCUUGAGUCCAGGAGUUCUGGGCUGUAGUGCGCUAUGCCGAUCGGGUGUCCGCACUAAGUUCGGCAUCAAUAUGGUGACCUCCCGGGAGCGGGGGACCACCAGGUUGCCUAAGGAGGGGUGAAUCGGCCCAGGUCGGAAACGGAGCAGGUCAAAACUCCCGUGCUGAUCAGUAGUGGGAUCGCGCCUGUGAGUAGCCACUGCACUCCAGCCUGGGCAACAUAGCGAGACCCUGUCUCCU